RNAcentral lists this ribosomal RNA (429 nucleotides) under Acidobacteriota bacterium. Its description in RNAcentral is "Acidobacteria bacterium partial 16S ribosomal RNA". It matches the Rfam family "Bacterial small subunit ribosomal RNA", at positions 355 to 776 of the family's 1533-position model. Lineage: Bacteria; Pseudomonadati; Acidobacteriota. The record is from RNAcentral.
UGGGGAAUUUUGGCCAAUGGGGGAAACCCUGAUCCAGCCAUCCCGCGUGUGCGAUGAAGGCCUUCGGGUUGUAAAGCACUUUUGGCAGGAAAGAAACGUCAUGGGUUAAUACCCCGUGAAACUGACGGUACCUGCAGAAUAAGCACCGGCUAACUACGUGCCAGCAGCCGCGGUAAUACGUAGGGUGCAAGCGUUAAUCGGAAUUACUGGGCGUAAAGCGUGCGCAGGCGGUUCGGAAAGAAAGAUGUGAAAUCCCAGAGCUCAACUUUAGAGCUGCAUUUUUAACUACCGGGCUAGAGUGUGUCAGAGGGAGGUGGAAUUCCGCGUGUAGCAGUGAAAUGCGUAGAUAUGCGGAGGAACACCGAUGGCGAAGGCAGCCACCAGAGAUAACACUGACGCUCAUGCACGAAAGCGUGGGGAGCAAACAGG